Molecule: non-coding RNA, 263 nt
Organism: Cinara cedri
Lineage: Eukaryota; Metazoa; Arthropoda; Insecta; Hemiptera; Aphididae
Source: the annotation of a GenBank genome assembly
ACGGUUUCUUUCUUUCUCGCAUUUCUUUCCCCCGCCGAUUGUUACGAAUCCCCAAUUAGUUUUGCUUAUAAUACAUUUCCUUUAUCGCUAUUUCGUUAUUAUUGUACAUACGUCCUCUUCCGCGUGUAUAUGUAUAUAUGUAUGUACGCGCGUACUUACCCGACUAAUACAUUAUUCAACACAAAACAGCGACCGGGUACUAAUAUCAAACGAAACGCGAGUGGUUUACUGUGUGUCUAUACAUACUAUACCGACUGAUACCG